RNAcentral lists this unclassified non-coding RNA (209 nucleotides) under Hevea brasiliensis (rubber tree). Lineage: Eukaryota; Viridiplantae; Streptophyta; Magnoliopsida; Malpighiales; Euphorbiaceae. The record is from RNAcentral.
AAAUUUUUUGUUUAAAAUAUUAAUUAUAAAAGUUCAUGUUACAUUUUUUCUUUCAGUAAUUCAGUAUUAUGUUUCCUGUUUUUUUCCUCUUAUUGGAAGAUUUAUCACUUCUAUGUACUUGAAAUAACUUUUUAAAAUCAAGAUAUAGAAAUGCCAAAUUCGAAACAGCAGUAACAUAAUUGGGCUGAUAACGUCACUUCUCUUUUCAG